ACGAACGCUGGCGGCGUGCUUAACACAUGCAAGUCGAACGGAAAGGCCCUGCUUUUGUGGGGUGCUCGAGUGGCGAACGGGUGAGUAACACGUGAGUAACCUGCCCUUGACUUUGGGAUAACUUCAGGAAACUGGGGCUAAUACCGGAUAGGAGCUCCUGCUGCAUGGUGGGGGUUGGAAAGUUUCGGCGGUUGGGGAUGGACUCGCGGCUUAUCAGCUUGUUGGUGGGGUAGUGGCUUACCAAGGCUUUGACGGGUAGCCGGCCUGAGAGGGUGACCGGCCACAUUGGGACUGAGAUACGGCCCAGACUCCUACGGGAGGCAGCAGUGGGGAAUAUUGCACAAUGGGCGGAAGCCUGAUGCAGCAACGCCGCGUGCGGGAUGACGGCCUUCGGGUUGGAAACCGCUUUCGCCUGUGACGAAGCGUGAGUGACGGUAAGGGGUAAAGAAGCACCGGCUAACUACGUGC
Molecule: ribosomal RNA, 468 nt
Filed under: uncultured bacterium
Lineage: Bacteria
Description: partial 16S ribosomal RNA
Rfam family: Bacterial small subunit ribosomal RNA
Source: RNAcentral